Molecule: ribosomal RNA, 417 nt
Filed under: uncultured Gammaproteobacteria bacterium
Lineage: Bacteria; Pseudomonadati; Pseudomonadota; Gammaproteobacteria
Description: bacterial SSU rRNA
Rfam family: Bacterial small subunit ribosomal RNA
Source: RNAcentral
AAUGGGGGCAACCCUGAUCCAGCCAUGCCGCGUGUGUGAAGAAGGCCUUCGGGUUGUAAAGCACUUUCAGUAGGGAGGAAGGCUUAUCCUUAAUACGGAUGAGUACUUGACGUUACCUACAGAAGAAGCACCGGCUAAUUUCGUGCCAGCGGCCGCGGUAAUACGAAAGGUGCGAGCGUUAAUCGGAAUUACUGGGCGUAAAGCGCGCGUAGGCGGUUUGCUAAGUCAGAUGUGAAAGCCCCGGGCUCAACCUGGGAACUGCAUUUGAAACUGGCAGGCUAGAAUGCAGUAGAGGGAGGUGGAAUUUCCGGUGUAGCGGUGAAAUGCGUAGAGAUCGGAAGGAACACCAGUGGCGAAGGCGGCCUCCUGGACUGACAUUGACGCUGAGGUGCGAAAGCGUGGGGAGCAAACAGGAUU